This 253-nucleotide ribosomal RNA is filed under the name uncultured bacterium. Its description in RNAcentral is "partial 16S ribosomal RNA". It matches the Rfam family "Bacterial small subunit ribosomal RNA", at positions 524 to 776 of the family's 1533-position model. The record is from RNAcentral.
UACGGGGGGGGCAAGCGUUGUUCGGAAUUACUGGGCGUAAAGGGCUCGUAGGUGGCCAACUAAGUCGGACGUGAAAUCCCUCAGCUUAACUGGGGAACUGCGUCCGAUACUGGAUGGCUUGAGUUUGGGAGAGGGAUGCGGAAUUCCAGGUGUAGCGGUGAAAUGCGUAGAUAUCUGGAGGAACACCGGUGGCGAAGGCGGCAUCCUGGACCAACACUGACACUGAUGCGCGAAAGCCAGGGGAGCGAACGGG